GUGCUGUGGGCGGGAGAGGUUGCGUUGCGCCGUUGCUCCCGCGCUCCUCAGUGAACUUGCUCCGCGCGUUUGUUUUCAAUAAGGCUAUGGUUAUGAACUAUGAAGAGGAUAUUGUAAAAUUAUUUUUAAAAAAUUGAUAUUCCGUGAAAAAAAAAAAACAAUAAUAAAUAGCUCUACAGUGAGUUUACGUGUUUUUAUUGUAAUUAGUGUUAUUAUUUUGAAAACUGGAGCAUGUGAUUUGCAAGUGAAAAAUACGUAACAAGAAAAAGAAAGAGAGAAAAAAGCAGAAAGAAACAAAAUCAGUUACUCUAAAAUAGACGCAAUAAAAAAAAAAAUGAAGAAAAAAUAAAAUGAAAAAUUGUAGAAAUGCGCGAAGGGAGAGAGACAGCCGGUGGAGAAAAGCGCAUAAAAGAACAAUAGAUAACAAAUAAUAAUAUGAAUAAAUAAGCGAACACCUAAAAGAAAAUAAUAAUAUAAAAAAUACACGACUUUAACACACACACACACAAAAAAGAAAUAUAUAUAUAUUUAUACAAAUCUCCCGUCAAUAUAGUGAGGAUAACGUGCCCAAGGCAAAUAUGAAAAUCGAAAAUAUAGGCCAAUGAUAAUCUUAGUGUAAAUAGAUAAUCUAGAAAAAUAAAUAAUAAAAAAAAUAAAUAAAAAUAAAAAUCCAAGACGAUGAGGGUAACGAAUGCCAUCAUCUGGACGAUCUGCAUCAGCAUCAUCGUCUUCAUCUGCGUGCUGUGGUUCGUCAUUUGCUACAUAGGCCUAUGCAAGCUACGGAGGCGGAAGAAGAAGGAGCUGCUGCCGGUCUUCAGCCUCCACGGCCAUCAAGGUAAAGAAUCUCAGACACGUUUCCAACACGUUGACUCCCGGCUGUCUGUAUGUAAGUACGAAUAUAUAGGCCUAUAGUUUCGAAUGUCG
Penaeus monodon (black tiger shrimp) is the source of this 924-nucleotide long non-coding RNA. RefSeq lists it as uncharacterized. Lineage: Eukaryota; Metazoa; Arthropoda; Malacostraca; Decapoda; Penaeidae. The record is from RefSeq and is a predicted model, not a curated record. The transcript is spliced from 3 exons.